UACGUAGGGGGCUAGCGUUGUCCGGAAUCAUUGGGCGUAAAGCGCGCGUAGGCGGCCCGGUAAGUCCGCUGUAAAAGUCAAAGGCUCAACCUUUGAAUGUCAGUGGAUACUGCCGGGCUAGAGUCCGGAAGAGGAGAGUGGAAUUCCUGGUGUAGCGGUGAAAUGCGCAGAUAUCAGGAAGAACACCCGUGGCGAAGGCGGCUCUCUGGGACGGUACUGACGCUGAGACGCGAAAGCGUGGGGAGCGAACAGG
Molecule: ribosomal RNA, 253 nt
Filed under: uncultured bacterium
Lineage: Bacteria
Description: partial 16S ribosomal RNA
Rfam family: Bacterial small subunit ribosomal RNA
Source: RNAcentral